UGGGGAAUAUUGGACAAUGGGCGCAAGCCUGAUCCAGCCAUGCCGCGUGAGUGAUGAAGGCCCUAGGGUUGUAAAGCUCUUUCAGCGAGGAGGAUAAUGACGUUACUCGCAGAAGAAGCCCCGGCUAACUUCGUGCCAGCAGCCGCGGUAAUACGAAGGGGGCUAGCGUUGUUCGGAAUCACUGGGCGUAAAGCGCACGUAGGCGGACUUUUAAAGUCAGGGGUGAAAUCCCGGGGCUCAACCUCGGAACUGCCUUUGAUACUGGAAGUCUGGAGUCCGAGAGAGGUGAGUGGAACUCCGAGUGUAGAGGUGAAAUUCGUAGAUAUUCGGAAGAACACCAGUGGCGAAGGCGGCUCACUGGCUCGGUACUGACGCUGAGGUGCGAAAGCGUGGGGAGCAAAACAGGAUUAGAUACCCUGGUAGUCCGCGCCGUAAACGAUGGAAGCUAGCCGUCAGGGUGCAUGCAUCUUGGUGGCGCAGUUAACGCAUUAAGCUUCCCGCCUGGGGAGUACGGUCGCAAGAUUAAAACUCAAAUGAAUUGACGGGGUCAUAGCUGUUUCCU
This 562-nucleotide ribosomal RNA is filed under the name uncultured bacterium. Its description in RNAcentral is "partial 16S ribosomal RNA". It matches the Rfam family "Bacterial small subunit ribosomal RNA", at positions 355 to 1375 of the family's 1533-position model. The record is from RNAcentral.